AAAAUCCGCCGGCUUCAAAAAGUCGUGAGGGUUCAAGUCCCUCUAUCCCC
RNAcentral lists this transfer RNA (50 nucleotides) under Xylanche himalaica. RNAcentral describes it as "Boschniakia himalaica partial tRNA-Leu". Lineage: Eukaryota; Viridiplantae; Streptophyta; Magnoliopsida; Lamiales; Orobanchaceae. The record is from RNAcentral.